RNAcentral lists this non-coding RNA (26 nucleotides) under Rattus norvegicus (Norway rat). Lineage: Eukaryota; Metazoa; Chordata; Mammalia; Rodentia; Muridae. The record is from RNAcentral.
CGCGGCUUAACCUUCGUUUCCCUGGC